UACGUAGGGGGCAAGCGUUAUCCGGAUUUACUGGGUGUAAAGGGAGCGUAGACGGCAGGGCAAGUCUGGAGUGAAAGGCAGGGGCCCAACCCCUGGACUGCUCUGGAAACUGUCCGGCUGGAGUGCAGGAGAGGUAAGUGGAAUUCCUAGUGUAGCGGUGAAAUGCGUAGAUAUUAGGAGGAACACAAGUGGCGAAGGCGGCUUACUGGACUGUAACUGACGUUGAGGCUCGAAAGCGUGGGGAGCAAACAGG
Molecule: ribosomal RNA, 253 nt
Filed under: uncultured bacterium
Lineage: Bacteria
Description: partial 16S ribosomal RNA
Rfam family: Bacterial small subunit ribosomal RNA
Source: RNAcentral